UGGGGAAUAUUGCGCAAUGGGCGAAAGCCUGACGCAGCAACGCCGUGUGAGUGAUGAAGGCCCUCGGGUCGUAAAGCUCUGUCAGCAGGAGAGAUGUGCUCAUCGGUUAAUAACCGGCGAGCUUGACGGUACCUGCAAAGGAAGCACCGGCUAACUCUGUGCCAGCAGCCGCGGUAAGACAGAGGGUGCUAGCGUUGUUCGGAAUUAUUGGGCGUAAAGCGCACGUAGGCGGUUCUGCAAGUCGGAUGUGAAAGCCCAGGGCUCAACCCUGGAAGUGCAUUCGAAACUGCCGAACUAGAGUCCCGGAGAGGGUGGUGGAAUUCAUGGUGUAGAGGUGAAAUUCGUAGAUA
This 350-nucleotide ribosomal RNA is filed under the name uncultured bacterium. Its description in RNAcentral is "bacterial SSU rRNA". It matches the Rfam family "Bacterial small subunit ribosomal RNA", at positions 355 to 696 of the family's 1533-position model. The record is from RNAcentral.